UGGGGAAUUUUGCACAAUGGGGGAAACCCUGAUGCAGCGACGCCGCGUGAUUUAGAAGGCCUUCGGGUUGUAAAAAUCUUUUCUAUGGGAAGAAAAUGACAGUACCAUAGGAAUAAGGACCGGCUAAUUACGUGCCAGCAGCCGCGGUAAUACGUAAGGUCCGAGCGUUGUCCGGAAUCAUUGGGCGUAAAGGGUACGUAGGCGGGUAAGCAAGUUAGAAGUGAAAUCCUAUAGCUCAACUAUAGUAAGCUUUUAAAACUGCUCAUCUUGAGGUAUGGAAGGGAAAGUGGAAUUCCUAGUGUAGCGGUGAAAUGCGCAGAUAUUAGGAUGAAUACCGGUGGCGAAGGCGACUUUCUGGCCAUAACCUGACGCUGAGGUACGAAAGCGUGGGUAGCAAACAGG
RNAcentral lists this ribosomal RNA (402 nucleotides) under bacterium. RNAcentral describes it as "partial 16S ribosomal RNA". It matches the Rfam family "Bacterial small subunit ribosomal RNA", at positions 355 to 776 of the family's 1533-position model. The record is from RNAcentral.